Thrips palmi is the source of this 605-nucleotide long non-coding RNA. RefSeq lists it as uncharacterized. The transcript is spliced from 5 exons. NCBI's taxonomy places the organism in Eukaryota, Metazoa, Arthropoda, Insecta, Thysanoptera, Thripidae. The record is from RefSeq and is a predicted model, not a curated record.
GGCUUGUAUUUACAAACAACGGUCUUUGCUCUGCGUUAGCCAGCUACCGUACCAUAAAACUCUUCUUUUCAUCAGGUACCUUCCGUUUCUCGAAACAAGUUGAUCAGUGCUGAGCCCAAACAAAGCACUUUCCCCAAUUGGAAAAACAAGCCCGCCAUCGGUUGGAGAGGAGAGGGAAACAUGAAGAACCAGGACCUGCCAUGUUCCGAUUCUCAGGAUGCCUUGUGCCGUGGUGAGGGAAAUUCUAAUGCUGCUUUAAAUUCAUGAGCCACUUCUAGCCUCAUCUGAAAAUUAAGGCUUGGAAACGAGAGGGAAACACAAAAAGGAACAGGACCUGCUAUGCUCUGGAGGGUUCUAUGACCUGCUAGGUUGCCUUGCGGCAAUGAUAAUUACGAUGCUGCCUCAAAAUGUGAGGACUCCUCCCUAUGUUAUCACUAAACCAAGGUUUCAAAGAGGGACAGUUGGGAAGGAACAGGACCAGCCGUGUUUGCACUCACAGAGUGCAGAGCGCCUCGCAGGCAGUUACAAUGUUCCUUUGUAAUUAAGGAACCACUUCAUAUCUGUAUCGGCGGCUUGGAAGGAAAGGGGUAACAAGUGAGGAAGAG